GAAACCGUGAUAGGGGAACUCUGAGUGCCCGUUAAAUCGGGCUGUCCAUCAGUUUAAACAACUGGUGAAGAAAGGGCCGGGCAAGACCGGUGCCAGCCGCCGCGGUAAUACCGGCGGCUCGAGUGGUGGCCACUAUUACUGGGCUUAAAGCGUUCGUAGCUGGUUUGUUAAGUCUCUGGGGAAAUCUUCCGGCUUAACCGGAAGGCGUCUCAGGGAUACUGGCAGACUAGGGACCGGAAGAGGUGAGGGGUACUCCAGGGGUAGGAGUGAAAUCCUGUAAUCCUUGGGGGACCACCUGUGGCGAAGGCGCCUCACCAGAACGGCUCCGACAGUGAGGGACGAAAGCUGGGGGAGCAAACCGGAUUAGAUACCCGGGUAGUCCCAGCCGUAAACGAUGUGCGUUAGGUGUAUCGGUGACCACGAGUCACCGAGGUGCCGAAGAGAAAUCGUGAAACGUACCGCCUGGGAAGUACGGUCGCAAGGCUGAAACUUAAAGGAAUUGGGG
This 505-nucleotide ribosomal RNA is filed under the name uncultured methanogen VIARC-4. RNAcentral describes it as "bacterial SSU rRNA". It matches the Rfam family "Archaeal small subunit ribosomal RNA", at positions 361 to 870 of the family's 1478-position model. Lineage: Archaea; Methanobacteriati; Methanobacteriota. The record is from RNAcentral.